CAGCAGAUCUGCAUUGUAAGAAAAAUGAGAAGAAUUCCUUCAGGAAGAAGAAAAAUGAUACCAGAUGGAUAUGUGGAUCCACAUAAAGGAACGAAGAGCACAGGAAAUAGUAACUAUACUGUCUUGCUCUGUCACCCAGGCUGGAGUGUGGUGGUGCGAUCUUGGCUCACUGCUAGACUGGUUGGAUCCAGGAAAAACAAAGGAAAGCAAGGACAUCUACUAAGACUGAAAAAUAAAUGGUAGGGUUUGAGGCUUGGGAGACUUGCAAACAUCUUCACCAUGGUGAGCAUAAUUUGGAACACAGGAUUUUGGAGACAGAGUUCAGCCUCAAUAUCUCCAUCUUCUUCCUAUGCCACUGAACUUGGAUGACAUAUGACAUCCUAUGUGGUGAAUUUUAUUAGUGGAUUGCCCAAUGAUAAAUAAGGUUUCCUUCGUCAGUCCAGGCAGGACUGUGCGGUUGGAAAAGGGACGGAUGCUGGUCCUGGAAGGGGCGUCGUUAUCUAGAAGCUCCCAACCUAAGUGGGUGACUCAUAGGGAGGGCAAGGAGAGAAGGACACAGCAAGCAACUUACAUGUAAAACAAGACGUGUGGGUUAUUAUGGAAGAAAUUCACAACCAAACUUGGGGUUAGCCCGUAUUGUUUUCCAAGAACUCUAUGUGGACAGUGACAAAAAACAGACCUAAGAACUAGCAGACUGGGCAAAGCUUUUUCACAUAACAACAACAAAAAAAGCAAUUCCUCAGGAAAAAAUGGUCAAUGGGUCAUUGUGUGUAGACAAAACUACAAGUUCUGCUCCAGACUCUGGGGAAACCAUGCUGCCAUCUUCAAGCUGUGGCCAUUCUGUAAUACAGACUACGCUAAAUCACAUGUUGUCAUCAAGGCAGAAUAUUUUGUUCCUUUAUGGGUCAGCCUGGGAUACAAAAUUAGAGAAACUUUGCAAUG
RNAcentral lists this long non-coding RNA (942 nucleotides) under Homo sapiens (human). RNAcentral's name for it is "non-protein coding COX10-AS1:9". The record is from RNAcentral. Lineage: Eukaryota; Metazoa; Chordata; Mammalia; Primates; Hominidae.